Molecule: non-coding RNA, 97 nt
Organism: Paramuricea clavata
Lineage: Eukaryota; Metazoa; Cnidaria; Anthozoa; Malacalcyonacea; Plexauridae
Source: the annotation of a GenBank genome assembly
CAAAGUUGAUCGUGUUUAUGACGUCGAAUAUCGACGUCAUAAACACCUAAAUUGAUCGUGUUUAUGACGUCGAAUAUCGACGUCAUAAACACCAAAA